GGAGGGAUGACGGAGCGGUUGAACGUGCCCGACUCGAAAUCGGGUAGGCGGGCAAAAACCCGUCUCGUGGGUUCAAAUCCCACUCCCUCCGCCA
This 94-nucleotide transfer RNA is filed under the name Thermaerobacter sp. Its description in RNAcentral is "tRNA-Ser". It matches the Rfam family "tRNA". From Rfam's summary of the family: Transfer RNA (tRNA) molecules are approximately 80 nucleotides in length. Their secondary structure includes four short double-helical elements and three loops (D, anti-codon, and T loops). Further hydrogen bonds mediate the characteristic L-shaped molecular structure. tRNAs have two regions of fundamental functional importance: the anti-codon, which is responsible for specific mRNA codon recognition, and the 3' end, to which the tRNAs corresponding amino acid is attached (by aminoacyl-tRNA synthetases). tRNAs cope with the degeneracy of the genetic code in two manners: having more than one tRNA (with a specific anti-codon) for a particular amino acid; and 'wobble' base-pairing, i.e. permitting non-standard base-pairing at the 3rd anti-codon position. Lineage: Bacteria; Bacillati; Bacillota; Clostridia; Eubacteriales; Clostridiales Family XVII. Incertae Sedis. The record is from RNAcentral.